RNAcentral lists this ribosomal RNA (468 nucleotides) under uncultured bacterium. RNAcentral describes it as "partial 16S ribosomal RNA". It matches the Rfam family "Bacterial small subunit ribosomal RNA", at positions 28 to 507 of the family's 1533-position model. The record is from RNAcentral.
GACGAACGCUGGCGGCGUGCUUAACACAUGCAAGUCGAACGGAAAGGCCCUGCUUUUGUGGGGUGCUCGAGUGGCGAACGGGUGAGUAACACGGGAGUAACCUGCCCUUGACUUUGGUAAAUUUCAGGGAACCUGGGUUUAAUCCCGAAACGGAGCUCGUGGUCCGGGGGGGGGGUUGAAAAGUUUCGGCGCUUGGGGAUGGACUCGCGGCUUAUCGGCUUGUUGGUGGGGUAGUGGCUUACCAAGGCUUUGCCGGGUAGCCGGCCUGAGAGGGUGACCGGCCACAUUGGGACUGAGAUACGGCCCAGACUCCUACGGGAGGCAGCAGUGGGGAAUAUUGCACAAUGGGCGGAAGCCUGAUGCAGCAACGCCGCGUGCGGGAUGACGGCCUUCGGGUUGUAAACCGCUUUCGCCUGUGACGAAGCGUGAGUGACGGUAAUGGGUAAAGAAGCACCGGCUAACUACGUG